CACGUAGGGCGCAAGCGUUGUCCGGAAUUAUUGGGCGUAAAGAGCUCGUAGGCGGUCUGUUACGUCUGCUGUGAAAACCCGGGGCUUAACCCUGGGCUUGCAGUGGAUACGGGCAGACUAGAGGCAGGUAGGGGAGAAUGGAAUUCCCGGUGUAGCGGUGAAAUGCGCAGAUAUCAGGAGGAACACCGGUGGCGAAGGCGGUUCUCUGGGCCGAUACUGACGCUGAGGAGCGAAAGCGUGGGGAGCAAACAGG
This 253-nucleotide ribosomal RNA is filed under the name uncultured bacterium. Its description in RNAcentral is "partial 16S ribosomal RNA". It matches the Rfam family "Bacterial small subunit ribosomal RNA", at positions 524 to 776 of the family's 1533-position model. The record is from RNAcentral.